Non-coding RNA from Ictidomys tridecemlineatus (thirteen-lined ground squirrel), 432 nucleotides. The record is from RefSeq and is a predicted model, not a curated record. Lineage: Eukaryota; Metazoa; Chordata; Mammalia; Rodentia; Sciuridae.
CCCCUUGAGCCAGGACAAGAGGAGGCACAAGUGGGAGCAGAGGAGGGAGCCACCAUGAGAUGACAAGGGACCCAAGGCAGCUGGAAGAUGGCAGAGCAGGUACAGGAAGCCAUCCUGGACUCUUCACAGCCCAGAAGCAAAGCAACAAAAGGGCCCAGAGGGGACUUCUAGAACUCAGUGUUGGGCAGGCGCCCUUGUUUGUGCAAUGUUUUGUCAUUCAUGACGAGCUUUCUCACAAACCAUGAAAUUGUCACUCAGCCACCUGAGCAGGAGAGCAGGAAGAGGAGGGAAGUCAGAGGGACCUCCACCCACCUCUGACCUCUCUCCCUUCUUGUGGAACUCCCCCGAAGCUGCCGACAAUUCUCUCAUGGAUCAUUGACAGAAUCAGGUGCAUAGACUCCCCAAGACCAAGCACAGUAGACACCAUUGCAA